GUACUCGCUUUGGCAGCACAUACACUAAACUCAGGACCAUCCGGCAACGAUUAGCAUGGCCCCGGAGAAAGGAUGACAUACAAAUUCUUGAAGCAGUCCUUUUUAUU
This is a small nuclear RNA of Pipistrellus kuhlii (Kuhl's pipistrelle), 107 nucleotides long. Lineage: Eukaryota; Metazoa; Chordata; Mammalia; Chiroptera; Vespertilionidae. The record is from RefSeq and is a predicted model, not a curated record.